GAAAGGUACAACAUUUCUAGUUUCACUUAUGUAGGUAUAGCAUCCCUCAUGAGUGUAUCUUGCGUUGUAUUUGUGGAGCAAUUAAAUCCAACAGUUUUUUCACUUUUUCAGGUGUUAUUCUCAACACUGCUCUGUACUCUCGGGGAUCAUCAUCGUAGAGUUACUUCAAUAUUGUAUUUGUUGCUCCUUUUUUUUGCAUCCAAUUCCUGGACCGAAUCCUUUUUUCUUUCUGCUUUUUCCGGAUAGUACCUUCAGUUCAAAGAAAUUCAGCACAAAGUAUUUUUAAACACGGCCAGUGUGUGUUUAGCGAUAAAAUUGUGUAAUGAUAAAUUCAACUGAAAAUCUAAGACGAAAACUGCCAAUAAAGAAGUCGAUUUCGGAUCAAUCAUCUGACAAAUUCGGAUCUGAUUGCUGUUUCUGACGAUUUGAUGGACAUUUGAAAAACCGCCUGGCAUCUCUGGAAAACCUGUGCCGUAGUAUCUAGUUUCUUGCCAGCAGCUCACAUUGUGUGAACGGACAAGGCGAGUCAACCAUUUGUCAAGCGAGUUCACCGGGUCAGUAGCUGCUCAUUGUGAAGCCAGCUACUAGCAACGUAUAAAUGGGCCUUUACGCGAGAAAUCAUAUCUUUUGGUGACAAAUGCAUUCGUUGGCAAAAUAGCUGCUCGCGCUUUACUGUAGAUAGAUAUCUACAAUCAGCGGUCGAAUUAAAAACAGUGCAGAAGGAUGUUUUGAGUAUAUUUUACCUUCUAGCCGCGCAAUCAAUGCUUUUAUUUCCAAUCAUGCAGCGUUUUAAUCGGCAAAAGCAUGAAAUAGAAUCGUACGUGGUACGAAUUUAUCGGCACAAUCUGAUCAAGGACGGAGGCAUCAUCAAACGGAAACUACGCAAGAAACUUUUCGAAGAGAUAAAACUACGCCGCAACACUCGUGUCAAAAUGGACGAGUUGGGCUGGGUGCUGAUGAACCACGAUUUGAUAACACGUAAUGAGCCAAUCCAACAGCAUGACAAUGGUAAUUGACCAAAUCAUUUUAAAUUCAACAUGGAGCGGUUGCGAAACCUACUGGAGCAGCACGAACAGAACAAUCACGCUGUUGACUUCCAAAAAUCAACACAAAUUCCUGCGUAUGCUGGAUGCAAUUUUACAAAACGACAAAGUUUUGAAGGAAAUUAAAGAGAUGGUAGUGGCGAAUCGACUUCUAUCGGAAAUUCGUUAUGUGACUGCGGUGGAACGUAUGCUGAAACACAAUUUGGACCCCUCUUUGCGCUGCUGCUUUGUAUGCCGAGAGUAUUUCCGCACUGCCGAUGAGUAUACCAGUCAUUUCGAAAAAUUGCACGGUGAGAAAUUUCUUAUUGUUGCGGCGGUGGAUCGAUUUCAGACUAGUCAAAAGUUCAACGUUCUACAUCACUACAAUGCCCUUAAUCCGGUGACAAUAUUCACGAUUUGCAACGUAUACCACACAGCCCUAAUAAAAAAAACAAGAAAAGACGGGUCUAAUAUUUUACAAUGAAGAACAAAUCUACCACUUUCCACGAAAAUCGGAGAACCACUAUAUCGGUUAGACAUGGAAUGGCUGAUACAUAUAAGGCAGAAAAAAAGGUUUAACUUUGGAAUUCAACAUCCUAUAUUUCCUCGUACCAUUAAGUUCAUGGCGCAUUUGAUGUCGGCCAUCGUAACUGCGUCUAUGGUAAUGACGUGAGCAUAUACCUUGAUUUUUAUCUCCAUCUCGGAGAAAAGUGUGGUAAACAAUGUCCGGGUUAUUUUUCGUUAUGAGAACCUUGUUUCCACAUCCUUUUACUGCACAAUAAUACGGCAUCUGAAGUAAAUAAAAUAUUCACAAUAUAAUUUUGGCAUGAUAGAGAACCGUGAGAUGAACGAUUAUCUGUGGUGGAGUUGGACAACAGAUUUCUUAGACUUAUAGCACUUUUAUUACACCCACAAGCUCAUCAAAUCAUCACGGUCCCCCAAAAAUAUUGAAUAAUAUAUAAUAUAAAUACCUUAUUGCAGCUAUAGUACACUAUUUUUCACGAAUAUAUAUUUGUUUAUUUCUUCUUUCAGUUGUUUUCCUCAGCCAGUUGAUAUGAAACCAUAACCACACAACCAAACAAAAAGUAAAUAAUUCAGAAAGCUACGGGUGCUGAUACACUGUUUGACCGAAGCCAAAUACUUGACUCUUUUUGACAGAUAAAAUUUGGUCAACGUGUACUGAUCAAAUAUAUUCUACACAAAACACGACAAGCAAAUAUUCAAUUAUUGGAUGCCUAAAAUAUUUUUUCAGUCUGUUCUUCGAACCUGUCGAUACAUGGUUAGGUUACCUAGAAUAUUUCAGUUGAUUUUUUCCAUGUUCGGUGUUUGAUAUUGUUUACUACUGUUGAAAAUUGAAGAGUGGCAAACAAAAUAGUGUUUGUACAAAUAUCAAAUCAAACCUUAUCUGUCAAAAAAUAACAAAUAUUUGACCUCCGGGCAAACAGUGUACGGCCACCUUACGUCUCGCUACUCGUCUCACGACUCAAAUGAAAGUGUCAAGAACGAAACACCUAUAGUUUAGCAUCUUGGCCGUGACGUAUCUCUAAGUUAAGGCUGAUUUAGCGUAAGAACACACUGGACGGCUUCCCCGCGCGGAUUUUGCAAUGACAGACCGCCGCGGGGCCUCGAUAAUGGAAUGUGAAUGAGAUAAAACACACAAGGCGGAGCGGGUACGGCCGGUUCUAAAGUCACUGUUGUAAGGUUCCUCAUUCUCUGCGGUGGCUCGAUGGAGAUGAUGCGCCGCAACGGUUUUGUGAUAGUAUUAGUGUUUAUGCGGUGCACAUGAAGCAAGGUAAUAGUUAAUGUACUAUCGGUGAGCCAAUACGUGAAAAUCACUCUGCGGUCAUGUAGCUGCGGAUUCUCGAAUACUACCCAAAUUAUCGAGAAAUGCAAUAUUUCAGACGUGUGCGAUCAACUUCUUUCUCCCUCUCGCUCAGGUAAACAUCCCUCUUCCGUUUUCCACCAUUCUGUCUUUAUAUACCUCCCCUCUAAUCCGCUUACUGUCCAAACAGUUGUACCUUGUACCAUAGACUCGUCUUGCAUCCGUCUAUAAAAAUAUGAUAAUGGCCGCUAGUGAAGCCGUCGAAAGCCGCUGAAUGUGUUUUUCAUCGAGCUCCUGCUGCGACUUGUCAUUGCGAGAAUCGCGCGGGAGAGCC
This is a long non-coding RNA of Toxorhynchites rutilus septentrionalis, 3178 nucleotides long. RefSeq lists it as uncharacterized. The transcript has 4 exons. NCBI's taxonomy places the organism in Eukaryota, Metazoa, Arthropoda, Insecta, Diptera, Culicidae. The record is from RefSeq and is a predicted model, not a curated record.